This is a long non-coding RNA of Mustela erminea (ermine), 1395 nucleotides long. RefSeq lists it as uncharacterized. NCBI's taxonomy places the organism in Eukaryota, Metazoa, Chordata, Mammalia, Carnivora, Mustelidae. The transcript has 2 exons. The record is from RefSeq and is a predicted model, not a curated record.
AGAGGGGCCCCCCCCCACCCCCGGAGGAGGCCAGGGGCGCCCGGCUGCAGGCCUGAAGCCAACCGGGCCGUGCGGGGUGCAUUCCGUGCCUGAGAAACGCCAAGGAGCUGAGCCCCCCAGAGGGCUUGAGUCAUCCCCAAAAGGAAAGGGCCAUGGGGUCCGGGAAGGAGAGAGGGCAGGAGGCGCUCACCUGGACUCCCAGUCCAGCUGCCCUGGCCAAGAAGUUUGUGAGCCGGAGAAGCCUCCAGUCCCUCUCCCCCGACUGUCCUCCUGCCCAGGGUUUAUUUAUUUAUGCUAUUUCUACACCGCAUGUGGGGCUUAGACUCACAACCCUGUGAUCCAGGGUUGCACGCUGUCCCGACGCAGCCAGCUGGGCACCACCAGUCAAGGCACACUUCAUGCGGUCAGCGGCUGCUGCGGCUACUGUGCCGGCAGUCGUUGGGAGUUUCUCGAUCGACCCAGGGCUCCAGGUCCUUGGGGGGCAGCUCACUGAGACCCGUUAUCUGAGCACUAUACCUCGCUCUCCGUGGUGCAUGCGCAGCCACGUUUGGGGGUGCUAAGGGAUACAGCUUGAUGGGAGCCACAGUAGCCUCUACUGGAUCUCGAGGACCGCUGAUCCCUACCUCACACCGCCCCCCUGCCGGGGACGUACUGGGGAUGUGUCUCCCAGAUUCUACUACCACAAAGAAUACAACUUCUCCAAAGAAGUUACUCUGCUGUAUUUGGGCUAAGCGUCAGUAAGACCACCACCGGUUUCUGGGGUCUCUGUCCCAUCUGGCUCACAGGUGCUCAGGCCAGGGUGAACUCCUGCUUCGAAGGAAGACCACCGCCCAGCCUCGCGCCUGUCUCAAGCAAGUGAUGAGCUGGGCCGUUUGAGCGUACCCCCCUGCAGCCCGGACUCAGCAGCUUUGCUGGUGGAGGCUCCAGAAGCCUGAAGUCAUGCAGACUUCAGGGAGAGACGUUGUCUGGGGCCAACUGCAAAGGGAGACAGGGCAGCGUAGGGGGAAGCGCAGGCAGAGACCCCAAGAACGGAGAGCAUGGGCCGGCGGAGCCCCCGCAGGCCUCUCCCCUUCCGAGCCGGGGCAUUCCACACUCUGACUUCCGUGCACCUUCGUCCUUCCAGUAACCAACUCGUCCUGCCUCUGUUUACCGGCUGCAAAGUCACACACAGCCACGCAGAUCAGAAAAAAGAGUCUAUAAAGAGCAGACCGGGGGCCGCCAGGACGGGUGGGGGAUGGGAACUGACCGCUUAAUGGACAUGGGGUUUCCUUUUGAGGGGAUGGGAAUGUUCUGGAACUAGAUCAUGGUGAUGCUGCCCAACCGUGUGAAUGUGCUAAGUGUUACUGAUGGUGAAUUUCAUGUUCUGGGCGCCAUAAAAACAGACCAUGAAAACUA